CGAGGUGUUCAGACAGUCGCGGCGGCAAAGGCGAAAGCCUGCCGAUGAGGAAAGUCCGGGCUCCACAGGGCGAGGAUAACGGGUAACGCCCGCCGAAGGCGACUUCAGGAAAAGUGCAACAGAGAUAUACCGCCGCCCGAUCUUCGAUCGUGCGGUAAGGGUGGAAAGGUGAGGUAAGAGCUCACCCGAUGGCUCGAGAGUGCCCAUCGCUGUAAACUCUAUCCGGAGCAACACCGCUAUGGGGACAUUGGUUGGCCCGACCGUCCCCGAGGUGGCUUGAUCGCCGCGGCAACGCGGCGGCUAGAUAGAUGACUGUCAAGACAGAACCCGGCUUAUAGAACAGCUCGCAGA
This 351-nucleotide RNase P RNA is filed under the name Oscillospiraceae bacterium. RNAcentral describes it as "RNase P RNA component class A". It matches the Rfam family "Bacterial RNase P class A". From Rfam's summary of the family: Ribonuclease P (RNase P) is a ubiquitous endoribonuclease, found in archaea, bacteria and eukarya as well as chloroplasts and mitochondria. Lineage: Bacteria; Bacillati; Bacillota; Clostridia; Eubacteriales; Oscillospiraceae. The record is from RNAcentral.